AUUUUUUUCUUCUUCUUUUUUUCUGUUGUAUAUAAUUCUUUUUUUUUCCUUC
Molecule: small RNA, 52 nt
Filed under: Arabidopsis thaliana (thale cress)
Lineage: Eukaryota; Viridiplantae; Streptophyta; Magnoliopsida; Brassicales; Brassicaceae
Description: ATSL214690
Source: RNAcentral